Molecule: transfer RNA, 72 nt
Filed under: Bos taurus (domestic cattle)
Lineage: Eukaryota; Metazoa; Chordata; Mammalia; Artiodactyla; Bovidae
Also listed under: 5 other names
Rfam family: tRNA
About the family: Transfer RNA (tRNA) molecules are approximately 80 nucleotides in length. Their secondary structure includes four short double-helical elements and three loops (D, anti-codon, and T loops).
Source: Rfam by way of RNAcentral
UCCCUGGUAGCUCAGAGGGUAAAGCAUCUGCCUGCAAUGUGGGAGACCUGGGUUCGAUCCCUGGGUCGGGAA